AUGACAUUAUUGGGGUCCUAUACCCCAUUAUUGGGGUCCCAACCCCCAUUAUUGGGGUCCUAUACCCGUUAUUGGGGUCCUAUACCCUAUUAUUGGGGUCCCAGUGAUUCCAGUUGGGCCCUAUACCCCAAUAUCGGGGUCCCAGUGCCUCCUAUUGGGGUCCCAUAUCCCAUUAUUGGGGUCCUAUACCCUGUUAUUAGGGUCCUAUACCCCAUUAUUGAGGUCCUAUACCCUGUUAUUGGGGUCCCAGUGCCCAUUAUUGGGGUCCUAUACCCUGUUAUUGGGAUCCUAUACCCCGUUAUUGGGGUCCUAUACCCCAUUAUUGGGAUCCUAUACCCCAUUAUUGGGGUCCCAUCCACCAUUACUGGGGUCCUAUACCCCAUUAUUGGGGUCCUAUACCCGUUAUUGGGGUCCUAUACCCUGUUAUUGGGGUCCCAUUCCCAAUGUUGGGGUCCUAUACCCCAUUAUUGGGGUCCCAGUGAUUCCAAUUGGGGACCCAAUGCCCAUUAUUGGGGUCCCAGUGCCUCCAAUUGGGGUCCUAUACCCCAAUAUUGGGGUCCCAGUGCCUCCUAUUGGGGUCCCAGUGCCUCCUAUUGGGGUCCUAUACCCCAUUAUUGGGGUCCCAGUGCCUCCUAUUGGGGUUCCAUUCCCCAUUAUUGGGGUCCCAUUCCCAAUGUUGGGCUCCCAUCCUCCAUUAUUGGGGUCCUAUAUCCCAUUAUUGGGGUCCCCGUGCCUCCAAUUAGGGUCCUAUUCCCUGUUAUUGGGGUCCUAUACCCCAUUAUUGGGGUCCGAUCCACCAUUAUUGGGGUCCUAUAUCCCAUUAUUGGGGUCCAAUACCCCAUUAUUGGGGUCCCUGUGCCUCCUAUUGGGGUCCCAGUGCCCAUUAUUGGGGUCCUAUACCCCAUUAUUGGAGUCCCAUCCACCAUUAUUGGGGUCCUAUACCCCAUUAUUGGGGUCCCAGUGCCCAUUAUUGGGGUCCCAUUCUCAUUAUUGGGGUUCUAUACCCUGUUAUUGGGGUCCCAACCCCCAUUAUUGAGGUCCUAUACCCUGUUAUUGGGGUCCUAUACCCCGUUAUUGGGGUCCCAGUGUCAAUUACUGGGGUCCUAUACACCAUUAUUGGGGUCCCAUCCACAUUAUUGGGGUCCCAUCCACCAUUACUGGGGUCCUAUAUCCCACUAUUGGAGUCCUAUACCCAUUAUUGGGGUCCAAUACCCCAUUAUUGGGGUCCCAUACCCCAUUAUUGGGAUCCCAUCCACCAUUAUUGGGGUCCUAUACCCCAUUAUUGGGAUCCCAUCCACCAUUAUUGGGGUCCUAUAUCCCAUUAUUGGGGUCCCAGUGCCCAUUAUUGGGGUCCCAUUCCUAUUACUGGGGUCCCAGUGCCUCCUAUUGGGGUCCCAUCACCCAUUAUUGGGGUCCCAUCCUCCAUUAUUGGGGUCCUAUACCCCAUUAUUGGGGUCCCAGUGCCUCCUAUUGGGGUCCCAGUGCCCUUUAUUGGGAUCCCAUCCCCCAUUAUUGGGGUCCCAUCCCCCUAUUUAGCCCCCCCCCCUUCAUUUAUGGUCCCCCCCCUCCCCUU
Coturnix japonica (Japanese quail) is the source of this 1573-nucleotide long non-coding RNA. The record is from Ensembl. Lineage: Eukaryota; Metazoa; Chordata; Aves; Galliformes; Phasianidae.